Numida meleagris (helmeted guineafowl) is the source of this 5019-nucleotide long non-coding RNA. RefSeq lists it as uncharacterized. The transcript has 3 exons. Lineage: Eukaryota; Metazoa; Chordata; Aves; Galliformes; Numididae. The record is from RefSeq and is a predicted model, not a curated record.
UCUCUUUGAAUUUCUCUUGUAAUCAAAAAUAUGUCAAAGAGAAUUAUUCUGCAGUGGAAAACACUGAAUGGGAUAAUUAAUACACAUUCAUGAGGUCACAGAUGUUUCAGUGACUUGCUCAUAAUUUAUACUUCAACAGCUUAUACUUAAGCUUGUGUGAAUGGGGAAGAGUAAAGUCCAAGGAGCCCACUUGAGAAUCUGACUUGCUUACCUACUAAAUGAAUAUUGUAUAUAGAAGCAGAGUAGCCAUCUUCCCCAAGAUGAUCUUCCUUCACUAGUUCCGAUUUUAAACUGUCUUAUCUCAAUAAACACUUCAGAGUUUCACUUUCUGACCAAUUAUCUCAGCAUUGUUUUGUGGUACUGUCUUCAUGUAGAAUAUAGGAAACCUCCAAAUGCACUUGCUUAGUGCCUUUACACAGCCCCAAGUGUGAUCGGUCAUGAAUGUGUUGGAUUGUGGGUGUCAUAAAAGCAUAAGUAAUGCUAAUGUAUUCAGGUAAAAUACUGAGCUCUUGUAGUAAAAUGAUACUUAUGGCAUUUUAUAUUUACUACUUUUGGGGAUAAGAGAACUUGAGAAUUUUAAAGUGCCCUAUCAACAGCUGAGUAUAGCAAGAAAUGGAAGAACAUCAUCUGAGUAAAACAACAACAGCAAACAAAAAACUUAAGUUUUUCUGUCUGUCCCAAACCUAUAUACAUAAGUAUCUAGUACUUUCUGCUGGACCUGAAAUUUGAGGAGGAAUAGUAUUUAAGUGGGGAAAAAAAAUACCAAAUUGGUGCAACAUUACUUUUGCACAUUGCAGUAAUGUAAGUAGAGAAAUCUAAAAGUUAGGUUUGAAGGCAAAACUUCUCUUCUCUUGUUCAUAUACAUUACAAGCAAACAGUCAGUUAGUGCAUCAAGUUAUUUGUUCAAUCUGUAAGCAUUAUCCCAUGAUUUUUCUGCUUGCAAGGAGUCCUCACUCUCAUAACUAGUCUUAUCAGAGGCAAUAGGAAAAAGGAUGUAAAUAAGAUUUGUUAGAUUUUAUUAUUAAGCAAGAAUAUUUAAUGUUUAGCACAAGGGAGGGCAGUGUAACAGAUUUUCCUGAUGCUUGUGGCUGCUUGGAAACCUUUUGCAAGAGAAAAUCCAUCAAUAUAUAUAGAAGGCAGUCUACGAUUACUUUCAUCAUAUAUACUAUGUGUCACAAAUCAGAGGGUUUUUUUGUCCUCUUCAUGUUUGGUAAGUUCGUUUUUUUUUUUUUUUUUUUACUUAUUUCUUUUCAAACUAAUUUAAUGUCUUCAAUUUACACUUUUCAAUUCAAUGCAGACUAAUUUACCCUUUUUCCUCUGGCCUAGCUAAUUCAGUGAGAAGCUAAUCAGUCCUCAUAGGAUUAUGUUCUGCAGAUCACUGGCCUGAAAAUGACAUAUAAAUUAGAUUCUCUCCCAUUGGCAGGAUGCUCCUGUAGAAGGCUACCUUUUCUCUACAGCUUAUUUAAAAAAUUUUCUUAUUUUUUUCUUGAGAAGUGGAUGGCUGCCAGGAUUUCUCAUACUCUAUUGCAUUGCUAUAGCAAUUGCAAGACAUUUGAUCAGUUAUCAGCAGAGUAUUAAUAUUCAGCUGAAAGGAUCGAACAGAUGCUAGCCCACAAAGAGAUCUUGAGAAACAACUUUACUAAAAUAUGAUUACAGUUGAAUUAGAAGCAAACCUUGGUAGAUAAUGUUCCCGAAAUGAAAAGACUUUUUUUCUGAUCUGUGUAGAUGAGGUAUCAUAAGUACAGUUAGCAUGACAAGAUUAUCAAUUUUUAAAGCUCUAGAAAUGCUGUAAAAUUGCCCAACUUUACAGUACAAUCUAAUUUGAAUACGAACAGCUUUGGGAAUUUAUUUCCCCAAACUCAACAUUCAAAAUACAAACAUUACUUUGGAACCAAUUUAAACAUUAAUUCUUUGGCUCUGCAUUUCUAAUGUGACAGUUAUUUGUGAAGGAGGUCUCUGUUAGCUCAAUAAAUGUUUAUAAUUCAUCUUUGUCAUGGGUUACAGAUGAAAAAUUCUGCUCCGUUUAGGGUGUAUCACAGAACUGUAGGGGCUAGAAGGGACCUCAAGAUCAUUGAGUCCAACCCCUAUGCUGGAGCAGGUACCCUACAAUAGGUUGUGCAGGUAAGUGUCCAGGCAGGUUUUGAGUAUCUCCAUAGAAGGAGACUCCACAACCUCUCUGGGCAACCUGUGCCAGUGCUCCAUCACCCUCAACGUAAAGCUCUUCCGCACGUUAGUAUGGAACUUCCUGUGUUCAAGUUUUAAGCCAUUACUCCUUGUCCUUUUGCUACACGCCACCAGGAGGAGCCUGGCCUGGUAUAUACAUGUGUGUGCAUUCAUUUCUUUCCAGUAGAAAGCUUAGAGGGGAGAAUUGUUAUUUGGCAGAAGAGACAUUUAAAUUUUUAAAUUGUAUUUAAACAAGAACUAAUGCUGUGUCAGAUUCAGAUCUUUGGAAAUCUGUUAGACAAGGACUUACUGCAGUUUCCAAUUUUUUUUAUGUAGACCAGGCUGUAGUUUUAUAGAUUACAUUCAAUGUUUAAAAUAGAACAUUUUUCUUAUGUAUGUAGUAAAUUUCUAUGUAUGAAAUGGUAGCAUACUAAAGUUAACAAGUUACUCUGUUCUUUUGUGAAUUCCAGUAAUUCUCUUCUUUCCUACGUGCAGGUAGAAACUUUCUUUCCUCAAGAAGCCUACAGGCUGGUAUGGGUAUCUUUGUAGUAACUAUUGCUUUUUAGAAGUUAUUAUAAAAAUUGCCUGCAUGAAUACAAUGUUUUGAGACACUUUGAAAAAGAGGCCUCUGCCCUUAGUAAUCCAUCUCUGUACCUUUGACUGCAUUCUGAAAUGUGCAGGGAUGGAGGAGUGAGCCUGGAUUUUCAAUGACUUGCAUUUAGCAGGUGUCUGUGAUUAUUGGCUGUAGAAGAGCCCUAGCAUACUGCGUCUUCUUGCUAUCAGCUAGCCAUCUGAUUCUGCCCCUUUAUUCGACUCUAGUUGGACGUACCCAGAGUGCUGGGUCCCUCAGUACUGGAGAGAUAUGGACAUACUGGCAGGACUACAACAGAGGAUCAAAAGAUGCUGAAGGGACUAGAGUAUCUCUGCUAUCAGUAAAGACUGAGGGAGUGGGAACUUGUAGUCUGAAGAAGAUACAGGAAGGACAUCAUGAAUAUCUAUGAAUACCUGAAGUGGCAGUGCAAAGAUGUCCGAGCCAGGUUGUUUCUGUGGUGGCCAGUGCCAUGGCAAGAGGUGCUGGACACAAACUGAAAUGCAGAAUGUUCUGUCUUAACAUUAAGAAGCAGUCUUUACUGUGCGGGCGAUGGAGCAUGGGUGGUGAAGUGUUCGUCCUUGGAGAUACUCAGAAGCUACGUGGACUUGGUUCUGGGCAGGUUGCUCUAGGUGGCUCUGCUGGAGCAGAGGAUUGGACAAGAUGACCUCCAGAUGUCCCUUCCAAUUUAAACUAUUCUGUCAUUGGUUACUGGACGUUAAUCCUUGUAAUUUCCAACCUGUGUAUAUACAGUGUAACUUGUACUGGAAGCUGUAAGAGAAGGAGGAGGUAAGAGCAUCAGUAUCUGGAUAGGGAUAAACCUUUUAUUAUGUUAUUUCAUGAAGAUCUCAUGGAUGAGUCUUACUAAAACAUGGUUAUGAGUAGUUCUCCAAAACUGUAAAGUAGUCUUAGUUGCCCUACCAGAAUCCAACUGAGAUUAAUUCCUUGCUUCUUUGCUGUAAAAUUGAAUAAAGGAUCUCAACGAAAGCAUAGGACUUUUGCAAAGCAGAGGUUUAAGUUACCGCUAAGAGACAGUCAUGAACCAAACACCAAAUUUAAUUAGGACUCCAUCUUUAUGUGAACGGUAGAUGUUUCUUAAUUUCUUCUAUUCUUUUAAGGGAGGAAGAAAUCAAAAUGAAGUAGCAUAGGAUACAAUCCUAGUAAAUGAAGGAUACUGCAUAUUGAAGAAUGCUUCUUCAAGUUAAAUGCACAAAAAUAACAUUCUGUGGGUAGUUUACAUGCUAAGUGUACCAUGGGUGAACUGUGAAAUAUAACAGUAGAAGGAAACUCUCUAUAAUUAGCAGUGCUAUACGUUUGUUGUGUAUUGUUUUGUGGUGUUUUUUUUAAUAGAAAACAUAUUAUCAUAAAUCUUAUGAAUUACCCAUUUAUAGCUAGAAAAAAACAGAAGGACAAUCUGCUUUCUGCUGAGAAAAACACACACAAAAGAAUAAAACAAAAAGUAACAGCUUUUGAGUGCCACGAAAUUCUUAGAUCUUGAAAGAUUUAUGUUUUUUUUUUCCUCACCUUGAGCUUUCAGAGAUCACUUCUGGAAGGACUGUGAAAUGAGUUUUUAGAAAUGUAUGAAGGGGAUAGGAAUGUAAGUGAGUAGGUUUGUGCUUAGUGUGUUUUGGUGUUUGCUUGUAAAACGUUGUCGCCUUCUUGCAAGGAGCUGCUUUCUGAUUGUGAGCAGAGAUGAUGCGUUAGUUGUGUAUGCCUGCAAAACAUACUUGACUGAAUGACAGAGAUGGAGAUUGCCAAGAGAGAAAGCAGUACUGUGACGCUUUCCUACCAGAAAUGUAAAUGACAAUUCUCUCUUGAAUAGUUUUUUCCUAGAUCCAAAUGCAUGAUUGCAGGAACUCAAAGCUAGGACUUGUAAAGGUGUCAGGUAUGGUAAUAUUGCAUGUAUUUCAGAAACUGAAAAUUUAUUGGAACAGAAUUUUUGUUGGGAAAUUGUUGGAUUUCAGGUUUUCCUUGCAGUUUACAUUUCCAUGAAUGCUCACCAAUCCCAGGUUUUCUUUGUUUAGGACUGUUUAGAACUGAGUGGUGUUUGUGCAGUAUAUUGAGUUUGACAGUCAGUGAAGUGGUUGGGGGAAAGAAGAGGGUUUGUAAGUAUUUUUUACCUGUGUACUGACUGAUAUGUUUUUGUGGAGCAGGAUUAAUUUGUAUGAUGUAUCCUGGUUGUGUAGAGUUUCCUACUAAUUGCCUUCUGCUCUAUAUGUAGAAUGCAUAUAUGUUUGCACACACCAAGCAUUGUAAAUUUAUUGUCA